RNAcentral lists this ribosomal RNA (485 nucleotides) under uncultured bacterium. RNAcentral describes it as "partial 16S ribosomal RNA". It matches the Rfam family "Bacterial small subunit ribosomal RNA", at positions 29 to 506 of the family's 1533-position model. The record is from RNAcentral.
AUUGAACGCUGGCGGCAUGCCUUACACAUGCAAGUCGAAUGGCAGCACGGGUGCUUGCACCUGGUGGCGAGUGGCGAACGGGUGAGUAAUACAUCGGAACAUGUCCUGUAGUGGGGGAUAGCCCGGCGAAAGCCGGAUUAAUACCGCAUACGAUCCACGGAUGAAAGCGGGGGACCUUCGGGCCUCGCGCUAUAGGGUUGGCCGAUGGCUGAUUAGCUAGUUGGUGGGGUAAAGGCCUACCAAGGCGACGAUCAGUAGCUGGUCUGAGAGGACGACCAGCCACACGGGGACUGAGACACGGCCCAGACCCCUAGGGGAGGCAGGAGGGGGGAAUUUGGGAAAAUGGGCGAAACCCUGAUCCAGCAAUGCCGGGUGUGUGAAGAAGGCCUUCGGGUUGUAAAGCCCUUUUGUCCGGAAAAAAACCCUUGACUCUAAUACAGUCGGGGGAGGACGGUACCGGAAGAAUAAGCCCCGGCUAACCACGG